GUAGGUGGCAAGCGUUGUCCGGAAUUAUUGGGCGUAAAGCGCGCGCAGGCGGGGUCCUUUAAGUCUGAUGUGAAAGCCCACGGGCUCAACCGUGGAGGGUCAUUGGAAACUGGGGGACUUGAGUACAGAAGAGGAAAGCGGAAUUCCAAGUGUAGCGGUGAAAUGCGUAGAGAUUUGGGGGAACACCAGUGGCGAAGGCGGCUUUCUGGUCUGUAACUGACGCUGAGGCGCGAAAGCGUGGGGAGCAAACAGGAUUAGAUACCCUGGUAGUCCACGCCGUAAACGAUGAGUGCUAAGUGUUAGGGGGUUUCCGCCCCUUAGUGCUGCAGCUAACGCAUUAAGCACUCCGCCUGGGGAGUACGGCCGCAAAGGCUGA
Molecule: ribosomal RNA, 376 nt
Filed under: uncultured organism
Description: partial 16S ribosomal RNA
Rfam family: Bacterial small subunit ribosomal RNA
Source: RNAcentral